Molecule: ribosomal RNA, 1062 nt
Filed under: Desulfonatronum sp. SC1
Lineage: Bacteria; Pseudomonadati; Thermodesulfobacteriota; Desulfovibrionia; Desulfovibrionales; Desulfonatronaceae
Description: Bacterial small subunit ribosomal RNA
Rfam family: Bacterial small subunit ribosomal RNA
Source: Rfam by way of RNAcentral
AUAUUGGUCAAUGGGCGCAAGCCUGAACCAGCCAUGUCGCGUGCAGGAAGACGGCCCUAUGGGUUGUAAACUGCUUUUGUAUGGGAAGAAAGUUAGCUACGUGUAGCUAUUUGCCGGUACCAUACGAAUAAGGAUCGGCUAACUCCGUGCCAGCAGCCGCGGUAAUACGGAGGAUCCGAGCGUUAUCCGGAUUUAUUGGGUUUAAAGGGUGCGUAGGCGGACUGGUAAGUCAGUGGUGAAAUACUGCAGCUUAACUGUAGAAUUGCCGUUGAUACUGCCAGUCUUGAGUACAGUUGAGGUAGGCGGAAUGUGGUGUGUAGCGGUGAAAUGCAUAGAUAUACCACAGAACACCGAUUGCGAAGGCAGCUUACUAAAGUGUCACUGACGCUGAUGCACGAAAGCGUGGGUAUCAAACAGGAUUAGAUACCCUGGUAGUCCACGCUGUAAACGAUGAUUACUGGUUGUUAGCGAUAUACCGUUAGUGACUGAGCGAAAGCAUUAAGUAAUCCACCUGGGGAGUACGUCGGCAACGAUGAAACUCAAAGGAAUUGACGGGGGCCCGCACAAGCGGAGGAACAUGUGGUUUAAUUCGAUGAUACGCGAGGAACCUUACCUGGGUUUAAAUGGGAAGUGACAGACUUGGAAACAGGUUUUUCUUCGGACACUUUUCAAGGUGCUGCAUGGUUGUCGUCAGCUCGUGCCGUGAGGUGUCGGGUUAAGUCCCAUAACGAGCGCAACCCCUAUCGGUAGUUACCAGCACAUAAUGGUGGGGACUCUGCCGAGACUGCCGGUGUAAACCGUGAGGAAGGUGGGGAUGACGUCAAAUCAGCACGGCCCUUACAUCCAGGGCUACACACGUGUUACAAUGGCCGGUACAAAGGGCAGCUACCCCGCGAGGGGAUGCGAAUCUCAAAAACCGGUCUCAGUUCGGAUUGGAGUCUGCAACCCGACUCCAUGAAGCUGGAUUCGCUAGUAAUCGCGCAUCAGCCACGGCGCGGUGAAUACGUUCCCGGGCCUUGUACACACCGCCCGUCAAGCCAUGGGAGCCGGGGGUACCUGAAG